UAAGGGGCAAGGGUCACAUCUAAUGACAUGUGUUCUUUAUGCUCUAUUACUUGGUGUUAUAAAUUAUUAAAUUGAUCUCAACAAAAUUCUAGCAGUGAAAUUUUGAAAUGCAUGUACUAGAUUUAUGGUAAAAUUGUCUGGUGGUUUGUUUGUGUGUUCUCUAGAUUAAAUUUAA
Pipistrellus kuhlii (Kuhl's pipistrelle) is the source of this 175-nucleotide long non-coding RNA. RefSeq lists it as uncharacterized. The record is from RefSeq and is a predicted model, not a curated record. The transcript is spliced from 3 exons. Lineage: Eukaryota; Metazoa; Chordata; Mammalia; Chiroptera; Vespertilionidae.